UCUGGUGACAAUGGCAAGGAGGUCACACCUGUUCCCAUGCCGAACACAGAAGUUAAGCUCCUUAGCGCCGAUGGUAGUUGGACUGACGUUC
This 91-nucleotide ribosomal RNA is filed under the name Staphylococcus hominis. The record is from RNAcentral. Lineage: Bacteria; Bacillati; Bacillota; Bacilli; Caryophanales; Staphylococcaceae.